CCUACGGGAGGCAGCAGUGGGGAAUCUUGCACAAUGGGCGAAAGCCUGAUGCAGCAACGCCGCGUGCGGGAAGAAGGCCCUAGGGUUGUAAACCGCUUUCAGUAGGGAAGAAAAUGACGGUACCUACAGAAGAAGGUGCGGCCAACUACGUGCCAGCAGCCGCGGUGACACGUAGGCACCAAGCGUUAUCCGGAUUUAUUGGGCGUAAAGAGCUCGUAGGCGGUUCGGUAAGUCGGGUGUGAAAACUCUGGGCUCAACCCAGAGAGGCCACCCGAUACUGCUGUGACUAGAGUGCGGUAGGGGAGCGGGGAAUUCCUGGUGUAGCGGUGAAAUGCGCAGAUAUCAGGAGGAACACCAGCGGCGAAGGCGCCGCUCUGGGCCGUAACUGACGCUGAGGAGCGAAAGCAUGGGUAGCAAACAGGAUUAGAUACCCUGGUAGUCCAUGCCGUAAACGUUGGGCACUAGGUGUGGGUCUCAACCAACGAGAUCCGCGCCGUCGCUAACGCAUUAAGUGCCCCGCCUGGGGAGUACGGUCGCAAGCUAAAACUCAAAUGAAUUGACGGCNGAGACGUGCCGACGGACGACGACGAGGGAGUAGG
This 599-nucleotide ribosomal RNA is filed under the name uncultured bacterium. RNAcentral's name for it is "bacterial SSU rRNA". It matches the Rfam family "Bacterial small subunit ribosomal RNA", at positions 338 to 951 of the family's 1533-position model. The record is from RNAcentral.